ACACGUAGGGGCCUGACGUUGUUCGGAAUCAUUGGGCGUAAAGGGCGCGCAGGCGGCCGUCCAAGUCCGGUGUUAAAUGGUCGGGCUCAACCCGAUCAUGCGCUGGAAACUGGGCGGCUUGAGUCCCGUAGGGGAUGCCGGAAUUCCAGGUGUAGGGGUGAAAUCUGUAGAUAUCUGGGAGAACACCGAGGGCGAAGGCAGGCAUCUGGCCGGAGACUGACGCUGAGGCGCGAAGGCGCGGGGAGCGAACAGGUUUAGAUACCCUGGUAGUCCGCGCAGUAAACGAUGCGCACCAGGUGUCGGGCGGCAGCGCCCGGUACCGGAGCUAACGCGAUGAGUGCGCCGCCUGGGGAGUAUGCCCGCAAGGGUGAAACUCAAAGGAAUUGACGGGG
RNAcentral lists this ribosomal RNA (392 nucleotides) under uncultured bacterium. RNAcentral's name for it is "partial 16S ribosomal RNA". It matches the Rfam family "Bacterial small subunit ribosomal RNA", at positions 523 to 918 of the family's 1533-position model. The record is from RNAcentral.